AGAGUUUGAUCAUGGCUCAGGACGAACGCUGGCGGCGUGCCUAACACAUGCAAGUCGAACGCUGUCCAUUCGGUGGCAACACUGAUGAAGACGGAGUGGCGAACGGGUGAGUAGCACGUGAGCAACCUGCCCCGAAGACCGGGACAACACCGGGAAACCGGUGCUAAUACCGGAUGCCCCCACCGGGCCGCAUGACCUGGUGAGGAAAUGGAUUCCGCUUCGGGAGGGGCUCGCGGCCUAUCAGCUAGUUGGUGGGGUAACGGCCUACCAAGGCGUCGACGGGUAGCUGGUCUGAGAGGACGAUCAGCCACACUGGGACUGAGACACGGCCCAGACUCCUACGGGAGGCAGCAGUGGGGAAUCUUGCGCAAUGGGCGAAAGCCUGACGCAGCAACGCCGCGUGAGGGACGAAGGCUUUCUGAGUUGUAAACCUCUUUCAGCAGGAACGAUAGUGACGGUACCUGCAGAAGAAGCACCGGCCAACUACGUGCCAGCAGCCGCGGUGAUACGUAGGGUGCAAGCGUUGUCCGGAUUUAUUGGGCGUAAAGAGCUCGUAGGCGGUUUGAUAAGUCGGAUGUGAAACCCCCAGGCUUAACCUGGGGCCGCCAUUCGAUACUGUCAUGGCUAGAGUCCGGUAGGGGACCAUGGAAUUCCUGGUGUAGCGGUGAAAUGCGCAGAUAUCAGGAGGAACACCAGUGGCGAAGGCGGUGGUCUGGGCCGGUACUGACGCUGAGGAGCGAAAGCGUGGGGAGCGAACAGGAUUAGAUACCCCCGUAGUCC
Molecule: ribosomal RNA, 780 nt
Filed under: uncultured bacterium
Lineage: Bacteria
Description: bacterial SSU rRNA
Rfam family: Bacterial small subunit ribosomal RNA
Source: RNAcentral